UCGAACGAUGAAACUCAUUUGAAUUCUUCGGAAUGAAAAUGAAUGGAUUAGUGGCGAACGGGUGAGUAACGCGUGAGUAACCUGCCUUACACAAGGGGAUAGCCUCUGGAAACGGAGAAUAAUACCCUAUGAAACUAUCAGAGCGCAUGCAUUGGUAGUCAAAGUGCUUAGCGGUGUAAGAUGGACUUGCGUCUGAUUAGCUAGUUGGUGAAUUAACAGCUCACCAAGGCAACGAUCAGUAGCCGGCUUGAGAGAGUGUACGGCCACAUUGGGACUGAGACACGGCCCAGACUCCUACGGGAGGCAGCAGUGGGGAAUUUUGCACAAUGGGGGAAACCCUGAUGCAGCGACGCCGCGUGAUUUAGAAGGCCUUCGGGUUGUACAAAUCUUUUGUAUAGGAAGAAAAUGACAGUACUAUACGAAUAAGGUCCGGCUAAUUACGUGCCAGCAGCCGCGGUAAUACGUAAGGACCGAGCGUUGUCCGGAAUCAUUGGGCGUAAAGGGUACGUAGGCGGGUUUUUAAGUUAGAAGUCAAAGGCUAUAGCUCAACUAUAGUAAGCUUCUAAAACUGGAAACCUUGAGAGAUGGAAGGGAAAGUGGAAUUCCUAGUGUAGCGGUGGAAUGCGCAGAUAUUAGGAGGAAUACCGGUGGCGAAGGCGACUUUCUGGCCAUUUUCUG
RNAcentral lists this ribosomal RNA (678 nucleotides) under uncultured Eubacteriales bacterium. RNAcentral describes it as "bacterial SSU rRNA". It matches the Rfam family "Bacterial small subunit ribosomal RNA", at positions 62 to 742 of the family's 1533-position model. The record is from RNAcentral. Lineage: Bacteria; Bacillati; Bacillota; Clostridia; Eubacteriales.